This 2923-nucleotide ribosomal RNA is filed under the name Staphylococcus aureus. RNAcentral describes it as "23S ribosomal RNA". It matches the Rfam family "Bacterial large subunit ribosomal RNA". The record is from RNAcentral. Lineage: Bacteria; Bacillati; Bacillota; Bacilli; Caryophanales; Staphylococcaceae.
GAUUAAGUUAUUAAGGGCGCACGGUGGAUGCCUUGGCACUAGAAGCCGAUGAAGGACGUUACUAACGACGAUAUGCUUUGGGGAGCUGUAAGUAAGCUUUGAUCCAGAGAUUUCCGAAUGGGGAAACCCAGCAUGAGUUAUGUCAUGUUAUCGAUAUGUGAAUACAUAGCAUAUCAGAAGGCACACCCGGAGAACUGAAACAUCUUAGUACCCGGAGGAAGAGAAAGAAAAUUCGAUUCCCUUAGUAGCGGNNNNNNAANNGGGAAGAGCCCAAACCAACAAGCUUGCUUGUUGGGGUUGUAGGACACUCUAUACGGAGUUACAAAGGACGACAUUAGACGAAUCAUCUGGAAAGAUGAAUCAAAGAAGGUAAUAAUCCUGUAGUCGAAAAUGUUGUCUCUCUUGAGUGGAUCCUGAGUACGACGGAGCACGUGAAAUUCCGUCGGAAUCUGGGAGGACCAUCUCCUAAGGCUAAAUACUCUCUAGUGACCGAUAGUGAACCAGUACCGUGAGGGAAAGGUGAAAAGCACCCCGGAAGGGGAGUGAAAUAGAACCUGAAACCGUGUGCUUACAAGUAGUCAGAGCCCGUUAAUGGGUGAUGGCGUGCCUUUUGUAGAAUGAACCGGCGAGUUACGAUUUGAUGCAAGGUUAAGCAGUAAAUGUGGAGCCGUAGCGAAAGCGAGUCUGAAUAGGGCGUUUAGUAUUUGGUCGUAGACCCGAAACCAGGUGAUCUACCCUUGGUCAGGUUGAAGUUCAGGUAACACUGAAUGGAGGACCGAACCGACUUACGUUGAAAAGUGAGCGGAUGAACUGAGGGUAGCGGAGAAAUUCCAAUCGAACCUGGAGAUAGCUGGUUCUCUCCGAAAUAGCUUUAGGGCUAGCCUCAAGUGAUGAUUAUUGGAGGUAGAGCACUGUUUGGACGAGGGGCCCCUCUCGGGUUACCGAAUUCAGACAAACUCCGAAUGCCAAUUAAUUUAACUUGGGAGUCAGAACAUGGGUGAUAAGGUCCGUGUUCGAAAGGGAAACAGCCCAGACCACCAGCUAAGGUCCCAAAAUAUAUGUUAAGUGGAAAAGGAUGUGGCGUUGCCCAGACAACUAGGAUGUUGGCUUAGAAGCAGCCAUCAUUUAAAGAGUGCGUAAUAGCUCACUAGUCGAGUGACACUGCGCCGAAAAUGUACCGGGGCUAAACAUAUUACCGAAGCUGUGGAUUGUCCUUUGGACAAUGGUAGGAGAGCGUUCUAAGGGCGUUGAAGCAUGAUCGUAAGGACAUGUGGAGCGCUUAGAAGUGAGAAUGCCGGUGUGAGUCGCGAAAGACGGGUGAGAAUCCCGUCCACCGAUUGACUAAGGUUUCCAGAGGAAGGCUCGUCCGCUCUGGGUUAGUCGGGUCCUAAGCUGAGGCCGACAGGCGUAGGCGAUGGAUAACAGGUUGAUAUUCCUGUACCACCUAUAAUCGUUUUAAUCGAUGGGGGGACGCAGUAGGAUAGGCGAAGCGUGCGAUUGGAUUGCACGUCUAAGCAGUAAGGCUGAGUAUUAGGCAAAUCCGGUACUCAUUAAGGCUGAGCUGUGAUGGGGAGAAGACAUUGNGUCUUCGAGUCGUUGAUUUCACACUGCCGAGAAAAGCCUCUAGAUAGAAAAUAGGUGCCCGUACCGCAAACCGACACAGGUAGUCAAGAUGAGAAUUCUAAGGUGAGCGAGCGAACUCUCGUUAAGGAACUCGGCAAAAUGACCCCGUAACUUCGGGAGAAGGGGUGCUCUUUAGGGUUAACGCCCAGAAGAGCCGCAGUGAAUAGGCCCAAGCGACUGUUUAUCAAAAACACAGGUCUCUGCUAAACCGUAAGGUGAUGUAUAGGGGCUGACGCCUGCCCGGUGCUGGAAGGUUAAGAGGAGUGGUUAGCUUCUGCGAAGCUACGAAUCGAAGCCCCAGUAAACGGCGGCCGUAACUAUAACGGUCCUAAGGUAGCGAAAUUCCUUGUCGGGUAAGUUCCGACCCGCACGAAAGGCGUAACGAUUUGGGCACUGUCUCAACGAGAGACUCGGUGAAAUCAUAGUACCUGUGAAGAUGCAGGUUACCCGCGACAGGACGGAAAGACCCCGUGGAGCUUUACUGUAGCCUGAUAUUGAAAUUCGGCACAGCUUGUACAGGAUAGGUAGGAGCCUUUGAAACGUGAGCGCUAGCUUACGUGGAGGCGCUGGUGGGAUACUACCCUAGCUGUGUUGGCUUUCUAACCCGCACCACUUAUCGUGGUGGGAGACAGUGUCAGGCGGGCAGUUUGACUGGGGCGGUCGCCUCCUAAAAGGUAACGGAGGCGCUCAAAGGUUCCCUCAGAAUGGUUGGAAAUCAUUCAUAGAGUGUAAAGGCAUAAGGGAGCUUGACUGCGAGACCUACAAGUCGAGCAGGGUCGAAAGACGGACUUAGUGAUCCGGUGGUUCCGCAUGGAAGGGCCAUCGCUCAACGGAUAAAAGCUACCCCGGGGAUAACAGGCUUAUCUCCCCCAAGAGUUCACAUCGACGGGGAGGUUUGGCACCUCGAUGUCGGCUCAUCGCAUCCUGGGGCUGUAGUCGGUCCCAAGGGUUGGGCUGUUCGCCCAUUAAAGCGGUACGCGAGCUGGGUUCAGAACGUCGUGAGACAGUUCGGUCCCUAUCCGUCGUGGGCGUAGGAAAUUUGAGAGGAGCUGUCCUUAGUACGAGAGGACCGGGAUGGACAUACCUCUGGUGUACCAGUUGUCGUGCCAACGGCAUAGCUGGGUAGCUAUGUGUGGACGGGAUAAGUGCUGAAAGCAUCUAAGCAUGAAGCCCCCCUCAAGAUGAGAUUUCCCAACUUCGGUUAUAAGAUCCCUCAAAGAUGAUGAGGUUAAUAGGUUCGAGGUGGAAGCAUGGUGACAUGUGGAGCUGACGAAUACUAAUCGAUCGAAGACUUAAUCAA